This is a long non-coding RNA of Papaver somniferum (opium poppy), 454 nucleotides long. RefSeq lists it as uncharacterized. The transcript is spliced from 3 exons. Lineage: Eukaryota; Viridiplantae; Streptophyta; Magnoliopsida; Ranunculales; Papaveraceae. The record is from RefSeq and is a predicted model, not a curated record.
AUAAAAGAAUCUAAUUUUCUUUUCAUUCUUGGUUUUCAUCAUUUUUCUCUGAAUUUCUUAUUUUCCCUGAACUCCAAAACCCAAGCGAAUGAGUGAGUCAAGCAAAGAUAAUCAUUAAUCAAUUGUUGUUUCAGAUCCUUGAAGUGAAUUAGUAUAGAGGUUGCAAAUGGGUGGUCUUGCUGUGGAAUCACGUUUGAGAGUUAGAAUUUAGCAUGGGAGAGUGAGCUACAAGAAGCUUGCGGCAGCGAAGCUGGAGACACAAAGUUGGUAUUCACUUUGUCGUCUUUACAUAUAUGUAUAUAUAUCAUGGCAUGAUUAAUAGAUGAAUUUGAGAUUGUUUUGGAGAUGCUGUUCAUGUUUGAUUUGUUUAAAUUUUCCAUUGUAUAGUACUUAAAUGCAUUUUAAAUGAAUGUUAAACACAUAUUUUAUUAAUGAAAGUAUUUCAGUUCAUAUA